This 440-nucleotide ribosomal RNA is filed under the name uncultured bacterium. Its description in RNAcentral is "partial 16S ribosomal RNA". It matches the Rfam family "Bacterial small subunit ribosomal RNA", at positions 338 to 795 of the family's 1533-position model. The record is from RNAcentral.
CCUACGGUCGGCAGCAGUGGGGGAUAUUGCACAAUGGGGGAAACCCUGAUGCAGCGACGCCGCGUGGGUGAAGAAGCGCCUCGGCGCGUAAAGCCCUGUCAGCCGGGAAGAAAAUGCCGGUACCUGAAGACGAAGCCCCGUCUAACUACGUGCCACCAGACGCGGUACUACGUAGGGGGCAAGCGUUCUCCGGAUUUACUGGGUGUACAGGGGGCGCAGACGGCGAUGCAAGCCAGGAGUGAAAGCCCGGGGGCCAAACCCGGGACUGCUCUUGGAACUGCGUGGCUAGAGUGGAGGAGGGGCAGGCGGAAUUCCUGGUGUAGCGGUGAAAGGGGAAGAUAUCAGGAGGAACGCCGAUGGCGAAGGCGGCCUGCUGGACUGCAACUGACGUUGAGGCCCGAAAGCGUGGGGAGCAAACAGGAUUAGAUACCCGAGUAGUC